AUCAGGACUGAACACAGAGACACACCAUGGAGUCUGGGCUGUGCUGGGUUUUCCUUGUUGCUCUGUUACAAGGUGUCCAAUGCGAUGUGCAGCUGCUAGAGUCUGGGGGAGGAUUGGUCCAGCCUGGGGGUUCCCUGAGACUCUCCUGUGCAGCCUCUGGAUUCACCUUCAGCAGCUACUACAUGAGCUGGGUCCGCCAGGCUCCAGGGAAGGGGCUGGAGUGGGUCUCAACCAUUAGUAAUGGUGGUGGUAACACAUACUACGCAGACGCCGUGAAGGGCCGAUUCACCAUCUCCAGAGACAAUGGCAAGAGCUCGCUGUAUCUGCAGAUGAACAGUCUGAAAGCUGAGGACACGGCUGUGUACUACUGUGCGAGAGACACGGUGACAGGACAUCAGUGUGUCCAGUGUGAGGUGCAGCUGGUGGAGUCUGGGGGAGGCUUGGUCCAGCCUGGGGGGUCCCUGAGACUCUCCUGUGCAGCCUCCAGAUUCACCUUCAGCAGCUAUGAAAUGAAUUGGGUCCGCCAGGCUUCACGGAAUGGGCCAGAGUGGUUCUCAGCCAUUAUACCUGUGGUAGCACAGGCUACACAGAUGCUGUGA
Non-coding RNA from Microcebus murinus (gray mouse lemur), 599 nucleotides. NCBI's taxonomy places the organism in Eukaryota, Metazoa, Chordata, Mammalia, Primates, Cheirogaleidae. The record is from the annotation of a RefSeq genome assembly.